GCAUAUCAAUAAGCGGAGGAAAAGAAACCAACAGGGAUUGCCCUAGUAACGGCGAGUGAAGCGGCAACAGCUCAAAUUUGAAAUCUGGCCCUCGGGUCCGAGUUGUAAUUUGUAGAGGAUGCUUUUGGUGCGGUGCCUUCCGAGUUCCCUGGAACGGGACGCCAUAGAGGGUGAGAGCCCCGUCUGGUUGGACACCAAGCCUCUGUAAAGCUCCUUCGACGAGUCGAGUAGUUUGGGAAUGCUGCUCUAAAUGGGAGGUAUAUGUCUUCUAAAGCUAAAUACCGGCCAGAGACCGAUAGCGCACAAGUAGAGUGAUCGAAAGAUGAAAAGCACUUUGAAAAGAGGGUUAAAUAGUACGUGAAAUUGUUGAAAGGGAAGCGCUUAUGACCAGACUUGAGCCCGGUUAAUCAUCCAGCCUUCUGGCUGGUGCACUUGGCCGGCUCAGGCCAGCAUCAGUUCGGCGCGGGGGAUAAAGGCUUCGGGAAUGUGGCUCCUCCGGGAGUGUUAUAGCCCGUUGUGUAAUACCCUGUACUGGACUGAGGUUCGCGCAUCUGCAAGGAUGCUGGCGUAAUGGUCAUCAGCGACCCGUCUUGAAACACGGACCAAGGAGUCGUCUUCGUAUGCGAGUGUUCGGGUGUCAAACCCCUACGCGUAAUGAAAGUGAACGCAGGUGAGAGCUUCGGCGCAUCAUCGACCGAUCCUGAUGUUCUCGGAUGGAUUUGAGUAAGAGCAUACGGAGCCGGACCCGAAAGAAGGUGAACUAUGCCUGUAUAGGGUGAAGCCAGAGGAAACUCUGGUGGAGGCUCGCAGCGGUUCUGACGUGCAAAUCGAUCGUCAAAUAUGGGCAUGGGGGGCGAAAGACUAAUCGAACCUUCUAGUAGCUGGUUUCCGCCGAAGUUCCCUCAC
RNAcentral lists this ribosomal RNA (906 nucleotides) under Cosmospora berkeleyana. Its description in RNAcentral is "LSU rRNA". It matches the Rfam family "Eukaryotic large subunit ribosomal RNA", at positions 38 to 976 of the family's 3401-position model. The record is from RNAcentral. Lineage: Eukaryota; Fungi; Ascomycota; Sordariomycetes; Hypocreales; Nectriaceae.